UACAGAGGGGGCAAGCGUUGUUCGGAAUUACUGGGCGUAAAGGGCGCGUAGGCGGCUUGUUGCGUCGACCGUGAAAACCCGUGGCUCAACUGCGGGCUUGCGGUCGAUACGGGCGGGCUAGAGUUCGGUAGGGGAGACUGGAAUUCCUGGUGUAGCAGUGAAAUGCGUAGAUAUCAAGUGGAACACCAGUGGCGAAGGCGAAUCCCUGGAAAAUACCUGACACUGAGGCACGAAAGCUAGGGGAGCAAACAGG
This 253-nucleotide ribosomal RNA is filed under the name uncultured bacterium. RNAcentral describes it as "partial 16S ribosomal RNA". It matches the Rfam family "Bacterial small subunit ribosomal RNA", at positions 524 to 776 of the family's 1533-position model. The record is from RNAcentral.